GUAGGGAAUUUUCGGCAAUGGGGGAAACCCUGACCGAGCAACGCCGCGUGAGCGAAGAAGGCCUUCGGGUCGUAAAGCUCUGUUGUAAAGGAAGAACGGCGCAUACAGGAAAUGGUAUGCGAGUGACGGUACUUUACCAGAAAGCCACGGCUAACUACGUGCCAGCAGCCGCGGUAAUACGUAGGUGGCGAGCGUUAUCCGGAAUCAUUGGGCGUAAAGAGGGAGCAGGCGGCCGCAAGGGUCUGUGGUGAAAGACCGAAGCUAAACUUCGGUAAGCCAUGGAAACCGGGCGGCUAGAGUGCGGAAGAGGAUCGUGGAAUUCCAUGUGUAGCGGUGAAAUGCGUAGAUAUAUGGAGGAACACCAGUGGCGAAGGCGACGGUCUGGGCCGCAACUGACGCUCAUUCCCGAAAGCGUGGGGAGCAAAUAGGA
Molecule: ribosomal RNA, 430 nt
Filed under: uncultured bacterium
Lineage: Bacteria
Description: bacterial SSU rRNA
Rfam family: Bacterial small subunit ribosomal RNA
Source: RNAcentral